AUUGAACGCUGGCGGCAUGCCUUACACAUGCAAGUCGAACGGCAGCGCGGGGCAACCUGGCGGCGAGUGGCGAACGGGUGAGUAACAUAUCGGAACAUACCCUAGAGUGGGGGAUAACGUAGCGAAAGUUACGCUAAUACCGCAUACGCACUAAGGUGGAAAGUGGGGGAUCUUCGGACCUCAUGCUCAUGGAGUGGCCGAUAUCUGAUUAGCUAGUUGGUGAGGUAAAGGCUCACCAAGGCGACGAUCAGUAGCUGGUUUGAGAGAACGACCAGCCACACUGGAACUGAGACACGGUCCAGACUCCUACGGGAGGCAGCAGUGGGGAAUUUUGGACAAUGGGGGCAACCCUGAUCCAGCAAUGCCGCGUGAGUGAAGAAGGCCUU
This 386-nucleotide ribosomal RNA is filed under the name uncultured bacterium. RNAcentral describes it as "bacterial SSU rRNA". It matches the Rfam family "Bacterial small subunit ribosomal RNA", at positions 30 to 418 of the family's 1533-position model. The record is from RNAcentral.